UAUUAGGUUGGUGCACAGGUAAUUGUGGUUUUUGCCAUUUAAAGUAAUGGCAAAAACCACAAUCACCUGUGCAUCAACCUAAUG
Molecule: microRNA precursor, 84 nt
Filed under: Pan paniscus (pygmy chimpanzee)
Lineage: Eukaryota; Metazoa; Chordata; Mammalia; Primates; Hominidae
Also listed under: 1 other name
Description: mir-548 microRNA precursor family
Rfam family: mir-548 microRNA precursor family
Source: Rfam by way of RNAcentral